CAGUAGCCGCGGUAAUACGUAGGGUGCGAGCGUUAAUCGGAAUUACUGGGCGUAAAGCGUGCGCAGGCGGUUGUGUAAGACAGGUGUGAAAUCCCCGGGCUUAACCUGGGAACUGCGCUUGUGACUGCACAGCUAGAGUAUGGCAGAGGGGGGUGGAAUUCCACGUGUAGCAGUGAAAUGCGUAGAGAUGUGGAGGAACACCGAUGGCGAAGGCAGCCCCCUGGGCCAAUACUGACGCUCAUGCACGAAAGCGUGGGGAGCAAAUGGGAUUAGAUACCCCCGUAGUCCCUGUCUCUUAUAC
This 301-nucleotide ribosomal RNA is filed under the name uncultured bacterium. RNAcentral describes it as "partial 16S ribosomal RNA". It matches the Rfam family "Bacterial small subunit ribosomal RNA", at positions 509 to 807 of the family's 1533-position model. The record is from RNAcentral.